UUUUGGCUGCUAUAACAGAAUAUCACACACUGGUAAUUAAUAAAGAAUAGAAUUUUAUUUGACUCAUGAUUCUGGAGGCUGGGAAGCCAAAACAACAUUAUACUGGUAUAUGUUGAAGGUCUAGUUGCUGGAUAAUAACAUACACAAAGAUGUGAGGGAGAGAGAGCUUUUUUUUUUUAAUAUAUAACAGAUCCAUUCUUGUUAUAAUUAGCCCAUUCCCAUAAUAAGAACGUUAAUCCAUUCAUGAGGGCAGAGUGCUUAUAGCUUAAUUAAUUUUUAAAGGUUCCACCUGUUAAUUCUAACAUGUUGGCUAUUAAAUUUUAUCCUAAAUUUUGGAGAUGACAUUCAGUGUACAGCAGUAUCUGUUUAGUAGAUACUUUAAUCUUUUUAUUUGUAAGGUAGUGAUAGGUAAGCAGUUACUAUUGUACAUUUGUAGUUUUCUGUCCAUUUUAAGUUUGCUUCUUUUUUUUCUGGUUCUGUCUUUCCUGUGGUAUUGUUCAUUUUUGUUGAGACAAAGUUAUGCUUUCUUGCUCAGACUGAAGUGCAGUGGCAUAUCACAGCUCACUGUAGCCUUAACCUCCUGGGCUCAAAUAAUCGUCCCACCUUAGCCACCCAAGUAGCUUGGACUGCAGACAUGUACCACAACACCCAAGGAGAUUUGAUUCUUCCACCUUGGCCUCCCAAAGUGUUGGAAUUAUAAGCAGGAGACACCAUAUCCAAUGUGUAAUUUUUGUUGUUUGUGUAUGCUUUAAUUACUUUCUCUUUUUCUUUACUAUUUUUUUUUCCUACUGGUUAUCAUGAGACUUAUGUAAAACAUCUUGUAUUUUAAUAGUCUAGUUUAAGAUGAUAACAAUUUAUAGUAUUCUGAAAUUCAGUAUGUAUUUACCAUUUUAGUGACAUUUAUACUUUAGUAUUUUUCAUAUUGUUAGUUAGCAUUUCAUCAUAUCAAUGUGAAGAUUUCUUCCAGACCAUGGCUGGAGAAGGAAAGAAGGUGUGUUUUGCCUGAUUCAGGGACUAUAGAGAGAACCAAGUUCUGCAGGCCUGUCAUCUAAGUCUCAGGGCGGGGAGACCUUCCUUCCCCACGGGUUUGAGGCUAUGGCUAAGUGGUGAGCCUUGGUGAGACGCAGAAAGGAUCCAUCCCAGGCACUUGGCUAGAGCUUUUGCAUAUGCAGAAGAAGAAUUGGAUGAAAUUCAGCCUUCAUUAUGAUGAAAACUCUCAACAAGUUAGGAAUAGAAGGUAUGUGCCUUAAUACAGUAAAGGCCAUUUAUGAAAAAGCAAUGCUAACUUUAUACUGAAUAAGGAAAAGUUGAAAGCUUUCUCUCUGAGAUCUGGAACAAGACAAAUCAUCCAAACUUUCAGCCCUCUUAUUCAACAUAGUACUGGAAGUCCUAGCCAAGGAAAUUAGGCAAGAGGAAGAAAUAAAAGUUAUACUAAUUGGAAAGGAUGAAGUCAAAUGGUCUCUCAUUGUGGACAAAAUAAUCUUAUAUGUGAAAAACUCUAAACACUACACCAAAAACUAUUAGAACUACUAAACAAAUUCUGUAACAUUGCAGAAAAUUAACACAG
This 1567-nucleotide long non-coding RNA is filed under the name Homo sapiens (human). RNAcentral's name for it is "HSALNT0402614". Lineage: Eukaryota; Metazoa; Chordata; Mammalia; Primates; Hominidae. The record is from RNAcentral.